GCGAGUGAACAGGGAGAAGCCCAGCACCGAAGCCUGUGGUCAUUUGACUACUAGGCAAUGUGGUGUUUAGGUCGUUCCUUGAGGGCGCUGCCUCACUCCAAGUCCAGAAAUGAGUACGGUAAUACUGACUUGGCCCAGAGAGGGUGAAAGGCCCGUGGGAGUGAGGUCGCAGAAAUGCCAGUGCCUUCCUGGAUAGACCUUGGAGUCGGGUUGUUUGUGAAUGCAGCCCAAAGUGGGUGGUAAACUCCAUCCAAGGCUAAAUACUAACACGAGUCCGAUAGCAAACAAGUACCGUGAGGGAAAGUUGAAAAGUACUUUGAAGAGAGAGUAAACAGUGCGUGAAACCGCUCAGAGGUAAACGGGUGGAGUUGAACUGUGAUCUCUGUGGAUUUAGCCGGUGAGUAUGGCUUGAGCUUGGUCAAGCUGGUUGUAUAAUGGAAUCUGCUUAGCCGCAGGUCCGCGCCUUCGGGUGUGGAUGCGCGAUGCACUUAUCAAGUGUUGUGCGUUCCAAUUGUUUCGUGCCAGCUCGCCGGUGCAUUUUCGCAGAGUGUUCACCACGACCGGCAUUCGUUGUCUGGCUGAUGUGGUUAAACCGGCCUUCCUUGUCCUUGUGACGUGGUUUGUCGGGAUGGCAGGUAGCUCGAUUGCAGGGCCUGUGGUUCGCUGCAGGUUCCGGCUCUAGGGUGUUACUAGCUGACCGCAUUGGUUCUGUGCAAUAUGUCGGAGACGGCGGCUUGUGGUACAUGCGUUCGUACUUGUUGGUUGGCGUGUCCGGGUUUGGUUUUUAUGUUGCUUGUGUUUACAGGCCUGAUGAUAUCCCGGGUUCGUUCGGCUGGCAGUGGCGUUCGUUGUGC
RNAcentral lists this ribosomal RNA (854 nucleotides) under Centrovarium marinum. Its description in RNAcentral is "eukaryotic LSU rRNA". It matches the Rfam family "Eukaryotic large subunit ribosomal RNA", at positions 89 to 617 of the family's 3401-position model. The record is from RNAcentral. Lineage: Eukaryota; Metazoa; Platyhelminthes; Trematoda; Opisthorchiida; Cryptogonimidae.